Molecule: ribosomal RNA, 453 nt
Filed under: uncultured bacterium
Lineage: Bacteria
Description: bacterial SSU rRNA
Rfam family: Bacterial small subunit ribosomal RNA
Source: RNAcentral
ACUCCUACGGGAGGCAGCAGUGGGGAAUAUUGCACAAUGGGGGAAACCCUGAUGCAGCCAUGCCGCGUGUGUGAAGAAGGCCUUGGGUUGUAAAGCACUUUCAGUAGGGAGGAAGGUAGUGUAGUUAACACCUGCAUUAUUUGACGUUACCUACAGAAGAAGCACCGGCUAACUCCGUGCCAGCAGCCGCGGUAAUACGGAGGGUGCGAGCGUUAAUCGGAAUUACGUGGGCGUAAAGCGCAUGCAGGCGGCCUGUUAAGUCAGAUGUGAAAGCCCGGGGCUUAACCUCGGAAUUGCAUUUGAAACUGGCAGGCUAGAGUCUUGUAGAGGGGUUAGAAUUUCAGGUGUAGCGGUGAAAUGCGUAGAGAUCUGAAGGAAUACCGAGUGGCGAAGGCGGCCCCUGGACAAAGACUGACGCUCAGAUGCGAAAGCGUGGGAGCAAACAGGAUUAGA